This 74-nucleotide transfer RNA is filed under the name Jaagichlorella hainangensis. RNAcentral's name for it is "tRNA-Pro". It matches the Rfam family "tRNA". From Rfam's summary of the family: Transfer RNA (tRNA) molecules are approximately 80 nucleotides in length. Their secondary structure includes four short double-helical elements and three loops (D, anti-codon, and T loops). The record is from RNAcentral. Lineage: Eukaryota; Viridiplantae; Chlorophyta; Trebouxiophyceae; Watanabeales; Watanabeaceae.
CGAGAUGUAGCGCAGCUAGGUAGCGUAUCUGUUUUGGGAAUAGAAGGACGUAGGUUCAAAUCCUAUCAUCUCGA